UACGGAGGGGGCUAGCGUUGUUCGGAAUUACUGGGCGUAAAGCGCACGUAGGCGGAUUGGCAAGUUGGGGGUGAAAUCCCGGGGCUCAACCCCGGAACUGGCUUCAAAACUCCCAGUCUGGAGGUCGAGAGAGGUGAGUGGAAUUCCGAGUGUAGAGGUGAAAUUCGUAGAUAUUCGGAGGAACACCAGUGGCGAAGGCGGCUCACUGGCUCGAUACUGACGCUGAGGUGCGAAAGCGUGGGGAGCAAACAGG
Molecule: ribosomal RNA, 253 nt
Filed under: uncultured bacterium
Lineage: Bacteria
Description: partial 16S ribosomal RNA
Rfam family: Bacterial small subunit ribosomal RNA
Source: RNAcentral